CCGCUGAGACAUCGGUUCCAGUACGAUCACCGAAGUUAAGCAAAUUCGAGUUUGAAAAGUACUUAGAUAUGUGACCACUUGUAAAUACCAGGUGAUGUA
Molecule: non-coding RNA, 99 nt
Organism: Acanthosepion pharaonis
Lineage: Eukaryota; Metazoa; Mollusca; Cephalopoda; Sepiida; Sepiidae
Source: the annotation of a GenBank genome assembly